UAGGAUUACCCGCUGAACUUAAGCAUAUCAAUAAGCGGAGGAAAAGAAACUANCAAGGAUUCCUUCAGUAACGGCGAGUGAAGAAGGAAAAGCUCAAAUUUAAANUCUGGUANCAUUUUGCUGCCCGAAUUGUAGUUUAAAGAGAUGUUUUCGGUGGGCACCUUGGUACAAGUCCUUUGGAACAGGGCAUCAUAGAGGGUGAGAAUCCCGUCUCUGACCAGGUGUUGCUUGCUAUGUGAUACAUUUUCUAAGAGUCAGGUUGUUUGGGAAUGCAGCCUAAAAUGGGUGGUAAAUUUCAUCUAAAGCUAAAUAUUGGCGAGAGACCGAUAGCGAACAAGUACCGUGAGGGAAAGAUGAAAAGAACUUUGAAAAGAGAGUUAAACAGUACGUGAAAUUGUUGAAAGGGAAACGUUUGAAACCGUUCUUGGCUGCGGGAGGUCAAACUUCUGUAGCCGGGCCAGCAUCGGUUUGGGUGGUCGGAAAAAAGCCAAGGGAAGGUAGCUCCUUUCGGAGUGUUAUAGCCUUUGGCCCAUACGACGACCUGGACUGAUGCCCGCAAUCGGUGGCCGACUUGUGUGCUCCUUCGACCGCCCAUCUCGGACAGCUUGCUGACCGAGGUAGGCGAGCGAGAGACCCACGCAAGCUCCAGAUCGAAUCUCCGGGCUAACGGCUGGCUUAAAGGUUUUAAAUGACC
This 694-nucleotide ribosomal RNA is filed under the name uncultured fungus. RNAcentral describes it as "eukaryotic LSU rRNA". It matches the Rfam family "Eukaryotic large subunit ribosomal RNA", at positions 16 to 649 of the family's 3401-position model. Lineage: Eukaryota; Fungi. The record is from RNAcentral.